This 449-nucleotide ribosomal RNA is filed under the name uncultured bacterium. RNAcentral describes it as "partial 16S ribosomal RNA". It matches the Rfam family "Bacterial small subunit ribosomal RNA", at positions 29 to 523 of the family's 1533-position model. The record is from RNAcentral.
AACGAACGCUGGCGGCAUGCCUAACACAUGCAAGUCGAACGAGACCUUCGGGUCUAGUGGCGCACGGGUGCGUAACGCGUGGGAAUCUGCCCUCUGGUUCGGAAUAACUCAGGGAAACUUGAGCUAAUACCGGAUAAUGACUUCGGUCCGAAGAUUUAUCGCCUGAGGAUGAGCCCGCGUCGGAUUAGCUAGUUGGUGAGGUAAAGGCUCACCAAGGCGACGAUCCGUAGCUGGUCUGUGAGGAUGAUCAGCCACACUGGGACUGAGACACGGCCCAGACUCCUACGGGAGGCAGCAGUGGGGAAUAUUGGACAAUGGGCGAAAGCCUGAUCCAGCAAUGCCGCGUGAGUGAUGAAGGCCUUAGGGUUGUAAAGCUCUUUUACCCGGGAUGAUAAUGACAGUACCGGGAGAAUAAGCCCCGGCUAACUCCGUGCCAGCCGCCGCAGUAA